GAUGAACGCUGGCGGCGUGCCUAACACAUGCAAGUCGAACGGGCCGCGCCUGAAACCUAGUGAAGGCGCGGCCAGUGGCGGACGGGUGAGUAACGCGUGGGCAACCUGCCGCGCACAGGGGGACAACGGCCGGAAACGGCCGCUAAUACCGCAUAGUCCCGCGGGGCCGCAUGGCCCUGCGGGGAAAGCCCGGGGCGACCCGGACGGUGCGCGAUGGGCCCGCGUCCGAUUAGCUGGUUGGCGGGGCAGCGGCCCACCAAGGCGACGAUCGGUAGCCGGCCUGAGAGGGCGGACGGCCACACUGGGACUGAGACACGGCCCAG
Molecule: ribosomal RNA, 323 nt
Filed under: uncultured bacterium
Lineage: Bacteria
Description: bacterial SSU rRNA
Rfam family: Bacterial small subunit ribosomal RNA
Source: RNAcentral